UCAAUUGGUAAGUGCUUGCCUAGCGUGU
RNAcentral lists this non-coding RNA (28 nucleotides) under Mus musculus (house mouse). Lineage: Eukaryota; Metazoa; Chordata; Mammalia; Rodentia; Muridae. The record is from RNAcentral.